RNAcentral lists this ribosomal RNA (255 nucleotides) under uncultured bacterium. RNAcentral describes it as "partial 16S ribosomal RNA". It matches the Rfam family "Bacterial small subunit ribosomal RNA", at positions 524 to 777 of the family's 1533-position model. The record is from RNAcentral.
UACGAAGGGUGCAAGCGUUAGUCGGAAUUACUGGGCGUAAAAGCGUGCGUAGGUGGUUUCUUAAGUCCGUUGUGAAAGCCCUGGGCUCAACCUGGGAACUGCAGUGGAUACUGAGAGGCUAGAGUGUGUCAGAGGAUGGUGGAAUUCCCGGUGUAGCGGUGAAAUGCGUAGAGAUCGGGAGGAACAUCAGUGGCGAAGGCGGCCAUCUGGGACAACACUGACGCUGAGGCACGAAAGCGUGGGGAGCAAACAGGG